UACGUAGGGUGCUAGCGUUAUCCGGAUUUACUGGGCGUAAAGGGUGCGUAGGUGGUCUUUCAAGUCGGUGGUUAAAGGCUACGGCUCAACCGUAUUAAGCCGCCGAAACUGGGGAACUUGAGUGCAGAAGAGGAGAGUGGAAUUCCAUGUGUAGCGGUGAAAUGCGUAGAUAUUGAGAAGAACACCAGUAGCGAAGGCGGCUUUCUGGACUGUAACUGACACUGAGGCACGAAAGCGUGGGUAGCAAACAGG
Molecule: ribosomal RNA, 252 nt
Filed under: uncultured bacterium
Lineage: Bacteria
Description: partial 16S ribosomal RNA
Rfam family: Bacterial small subunit ribosomal RNA
Source: RNAcentral